RNAcentral lists this microRNA precursor (202 nucleotides) under Leersia perrieri. RNAcentral's name for it is "MIR812 microRNA precursor family". It matches the Rfam family "MIR812 microRNA precursor family". The record is from Rfam by way of RNAcentral. Lineage: Eukaryota; Viridiplantae; Streptophyta; Magnoliopsida; Poales; Poaceae.
GUUUAACGCCGUUGACUUUUUUACACAUGUUUGACCGUCCGUCUUAUUCAAAAAAUUUACGAAAUUAUUAAUUCUUUUUCUAUCAUUUAAUUCAUUGUUAAAUAAACUUUUAUGCACAUAUAUAAUUUUAUAUAUUUCAUAAAAGUUUUUGAAUAAGACGGACAGUCAAACAUGUGUCAAAAAAUUAACGGCGUCAAACAUU